This 153-nucleotide unclassified non-coding RNA is filed under the name soil metagenome. RNAcentral describes it as "partial internal transcribed spacer 1". The record is from RNAcentral.
GUGAUUAAAUCGAGCGUGUCUCCAUUGACCGCUCACCCUUCUCCCCAUCCACAUACACCUGUGCACUGUUUAGCCUGAGCCGGUUUUCCGGUCCAGGUUAUCAUUUCAUACAAACUCUAGUCUUAUGAAUGUAAACGUUUUAAUAACAUAAUA